GCAAAACGCGAAGAACCUUACCAGGUCUUGACAUCCCUCUGACCGGUCCGUAACGGGACCUUUCCUUCGGGACAGAGGAGACAGGUGGUGCAUGGUUGUCGUCAGCUCGUGUCGUGAGAUGUUGGGUUAAGUCCCGCAACGAGCGCAAACCCCUAUCCUUAGUAGCCACGCAGUUCGGUCUGGGCGACUCUAGGGAGACUGCCAGGGAGUAACCUGGAGGAAGGCGGGGAGUGACGUCAAAUACAUCAUGCCCCUUACUGAUCUGGGCUACACACGUGCUACAAUGGUGACUACAAAGGGAAGCAGCCUCGUGAGAGUGAGCAAAUCCCAAAAAGGUACAUCCCAGUUCGGAUUGUAGUCUGCAACUCGACUACAUGAAGCUGGAAUCGCUAGUAAUCGCGAAUCAGAAUGUCGCGGUGAAUACGUUCCCGGGUC
This 435-nucleotide ribosomal RNA is filed under the name uncultured bacterium. Its description in RNAcentral is "bacterial SSU rRNA". It matches the Rfam family "Bacterial small subunit ribosomal RNA", at positions 954 to 1380 of the family's 1533-position model. The record is from RNAcentral.